This 682-nucleotide ribosomal RNA is filed under the name Rhodococcus (subgen. Prescottella) equi. RNAcentral describes it as "Prescottella equi bacterial SSU rRNA". It matches the Rfam family "Bacterial small subunit ribosomal RNA", at positions 56 to 757 of the family's 1533-position model. The record is from RNAcentral. Lineage: Bacteria; Bacillati; Actinomycetota; Actinomycetes; Mycobacteriales; Nocardiaceae.
UGCAGUCGACGGUAAGGCCCUUCGGGGUACACGAGUGGCGAACGGGUGAGUAACACGUGGGUGAUCUGCCCUGCACUCUGGGAUAAGCCUGGGAAACUGGGUCUAAUACCGGAUAGGAGCUCCUGUCGCAUGGCGGGGGUUGGAAAGGUUUACUGGUGCAGGAUGGGCCCGCGGCCUAUCAGCUUGUUGGUGGGGUAAUGGCCUACCAAGGCGACGACGGGUAGCCGGCCUGAGAGGGCGACCGGCCACACUGGGACUGAGACACGGCCCAGACUCCUACGGGAGGCAGCAGUGGGGAAUAUUGCACAAUGGGCGAAAGCCUGAUGCAGCGACGCCGCGUGAGGGAUGACGGCCUUCGGGUUGUAAACCUCUUUCAGCAGGGACGAAGCGAGAGUGACGGUACCUGCAGAAGAAGCACCGGCCAACUACGUGCCAGCAGCCGCGGUAAUACGUAGGGUGCGAGCGUUGUCCGGAAUUACUGGGCGUAAAGAGCUCGUAGGCGGUUUGUCGCGUCGUCCGUGAAAACUUGGGGCUCAACCCCAAGCUUGCGGGCGAUACGGGCAGACUUGAGUACUGCAGGGGAGACUGGAAUUCCUGGUGUAGCGGUGAAAUGCGCAGAUAUCAGGAGGAACACCGGUGGCGAAGGCGGGUCUCUGGGCAGUAACUGACGCUGAGGAGCGAA